AAAGGAGUGAUCCGGCAGAGGAUGGACAUGCGGCGCAUUAGCUAGUCGGCGGGGUAACGGCCCACCGAGGCUACGAUGCGUAGGGGUUCUGAGAGGAAGGUCCCCCACACUGGUACUGAGACACGGACCAGACUCCUACGGGAGGCAGCAGUGAGGAAUAUUGGUCAAUGGGCGGAAGCCUGAACCAGCCAAGUCGCGUGAGGGAAGACGGUCCUAUGGAUUGUAAACCUCUUUUGCAGGGGAGCAAGGCGCGGUACGUGUACCGCGAAGGAGAGUACCCUGAGAAAAAGCAUCGGCUAACUCCGUGCCAGCAGCCGCGGUAAUACGGAGGAUGCGAGCGUUAUCCGGAUUUAUUGGGUUUAAAGGGUGCGCAGGCGGACUGUUAAGUCAGCGGUAAAAUGUCGGUGCUCAACACCGGCCGGCCGUUGAAACUGGCAGCCUUGAGUGAGCGAGAAGUAUGCGGAAUGCGUGGUGUAGCGGUGAAAUGCAUAGAUAUCACGCAGAACUCCGAUUGCGAAGGCAGCAUACCGGCGCUCAACUGACGCUCAGGCACGAAAGCGUGGGUAUCGAACAGGCUUAGAUGCCCUGGUAGUCCACGCAGUAAACGAUGAAUGCUCACUGUCCGGGCCGUUUAAGGCCUGG
This 642-nucleotide ribosomal RNA is filed under the name uncultured bacterium. RNAcentral describes it as "bacterial SSU rRNA". It matches the Rfam family "Bacterial small subunit ribosomal RNA", at positions 202 to 842 of the family's 1533-position model. The record is from RNAcentral.